CCUACGGGGAGCAGCAGUGAGGAAUAUUGGUCAAUGGGCGCAAGCCUGAACCAGCCAAGUCGCGUGAGGGAUGACGGUCCUAUGGAUUGUAAACCUCUUUUGUCGGGGAGCAAGGCACGCCACGUGUGGCGGGAAGGAGAGUACCCGAAGAAAAAGCACCGGCUAACUCCGUGCCAGCAGCCGCGGUAAUACGGAGGAUGCGAGCGUUAUCCGGAUUUAUUGGGUGUAAAGGGUGCGUAGGCGGAAGGUUAAGUCAGCGGUAAAAUGUCGGUGCUCAACACCGGCCUGCCGUUGAAACUGGUCUUCUUGAGUGAGCGAGAAGUAUGCGGAAUGCGUGGUGUAGCGGUGAAAUGCAUAGAUAUCACGCAGAACUCCGAUUGCGAAGGCAGCAUACCGGCGCUCAACUGACGCUGAGGCACGAAAGCGUGGGGAUCGAACAGGAUUAGAUACCCGUGUAGUC
This 460-nucleotide ribosomal RNA is filed under the name uncultured bacterium. Its description in RNAcentral is "partial 16S ribosomal RNA". It matches the Rfam family "Bacterial small subunit ribosomal RNA", at positions 338 to 795 of the family's 1533-position model. The record is from RNAcentral.